This is a long non-coding RNA of Zootermopsis nevadensis, 1566 nucleotides long. RefSeq lists it as uncharacterized. The record is from RefSeq and is a predicted model, not a curated record. Lineage: Eukaryota; Metazoa; Arthropoda; Insecta; Blattodea; Termopsidae.
CUGGGCUCGUCUUUACAUCUAAACAGUUGACAAUCUGGAUUUAGCUUACGGGUUAGUUCAGAUGUCUCCUCUAAGUGGUGUGUAGUGUCGAAUGAUAGGAUGACUAAUGAAUAAUGAAUUAGAGGGGUUUAAGACGAAAGUGUUUCUGAUAUAAUUUGAGGUACUAUUACGGAAUUGCUAAGAAGGAAUGAGAAAGAUUUUUUAAAAAAAUCUUAAUCAGGAUAGUUGGUCGCCGUACUGUGAUUUAAACGAAUAAAAGUCUUGGUGAAUAAUUCUUUAUUUAUGUUAAACGAAAUCACAUGAAUACUAAACACGUGAUUUAAUUAGUGUUUUACAUAAAUUUAAGUGUAUGAAGAUUUCUUCAGUGUUUUUUUAGGCAGAAAACAGUGGUACGCUCACGCGAUCUUCACAUUUCUUCAGAGAGCGGGGAAGACGCACGAAACAAAACGGAUCUCCGUGUUGGAAGAACGUACAAUAUCGAGUGUUCCAGAAAUUACGUUCCAAUUAUGUGAAUUGAGAUUAGAUCGUGAGCCCAGGGUCCGUUCUUCUUAUCUCAUGCCCGGGGUGUUAGAACAAGACGGAAUAGUUGCUGGCAAAAACGGUUAUCCUUACCAGAAAACACGGCUGUGUGAAAAAUAUUUGUGUUGUAUCGUGCAGGUGUUUGUGUCAUGUUCCAGAGACCGGUUAAAAGAACCCUGUUUCAUGACCCGGUAAAUUAAGGGAUUAGUUCUAAAAUGAAAGGGGUGUUUCCUGUUGAACUAUCUCAGUUCCACGUGUUAAAGCAGUUUGUGAGUAAAGUGACUAACAACUGACACCUCGCAGUUCAAUUGUUCAAGUCACGAUGCCUGAAGAGUCCGACUAUGGGGCAGUAUUUACUGAACACGUUGUAUCUUAAUGUUAGGUUAGGUUUAUGACAUUGUGUUUUCAAAAAACUAUACCUUCCUUGUGCCUCACACUUCGUUUGUUCUUUAGCCACUGAUGAAUGAGAGUACAAAUCAAACAAACACACAUAGUCUACCAGUGUCCGAGGUACUGAAACAAUUCUGGAUUAUUUUGCAUUCCUUGCAAGAAGUGAAUGGCGAGAAGGCAUUAUGGAUUGAUCAUGUUUAGUCGAUUCAAGUCGAGAACCACUCGACAGAUUUGGAUGAAAUUUGGUGUGGAGGUUGUGCCGUUCUGUAAGACUUCAGAAUCGUGCUUUUGAUUAUCCAAAGAGCGCUGAUAACAAAAUGGCGAAUGAGGAAAGUCGUGAGGUGGACAUCGAGGUGAUAGGAUCUGGUGACCAAAGUGGAAAUUAUCGAACAUGGCGGAUUUUAUACCUCUAAAUGCACGUUUUAAAGAACGCAUGAAGAUAUUAUGUGUAUACCAGCACGGAAACGCGAAUCAGGUGUUGCAUUUUGUAACAAAGGUGUAUCUUAGAAGUGGUCAAACAAUCUGUUUAAAAUACUUAGCUGCAUAUUCCAUACAUCGCACACAAAAUGAACAUGGCCAGUUAUUUUAUAGUUAGCGAUAUUUGAGAAUCUUAUGAAUUACCAGACAUAAAAUAAACAAGUCGCAUCCUUUUUUAAA